This 468-nucleotide ribosomal RNA is filed under the name uncultured bacterium. RNAcentral describes it as "partial 16S ribosomal RNA". It matches the Rfam family "Bacterial small subunit ribosomal RNA", at positions 28 to 507 of the family's 1533-position model. The record is from RNAcentral.
GACGAACGCUGGCGGCGUGCUUAACACAUGCAAGUCGAACGGAAAGGCCCUGCUUUUGUGGGGUGCUCGAGUGGCGAACGGGUGAGUAACACGUGAGUAACCUGCCCUUGACUUUGGGAUAACUUCAGGAAACUGGGGCUAAUACCGGAUAGGAGCUCCUGCUGCAUGGUGGGGGUUGGAAAUUUUCGGCGGUUGGGGAUGGACUCGCGGCUUAUCAGCUUGUUGGUGGGGUAGUGGCUUACCAAGGCUUUGACGGGUAGCCGGCCUGAGAGGGUGACCGGCCACAUUGGGCCUGAGAUACGGACCAGACUCCUACGGGAGGCAGCAGUGGGGAAUAUUGCACAAUGGGCGGAAGCCUGAUGCAGAAACGCCGCGUGCGGGAUGACGGCCUUCGGGUUGUAAACCGCUUUCGCCUGUGACGAAGCGUGAGUGACGGUAAUGGGUAAAGAAGCACCGGCUAACUACGUG